GUGCACUUUCCCAGCUGCAGCUAGUGGCCUCCGGCCCUGGGGUGGGCAAAGUCUCCGAGCCCCUCACACUGACCUGCGCUGUCUCCGGGUUCUCCAUCAAUAGUCAGUAUUACUACUGGUACUGGCUCCGUCAGCCUCCUGGAGAAGGGCUGGAAUCCAUGGGAUACAUACACGCAUAUAACGGGGGUACAGGCUACGCCCCGUCUCUCCAAGGCCGGAUCACCAUCUCUGCAGACGCUGCGAAGAACCAGGUCUCCCUGACGCUGCGCUCUCUGACAGCUGCAGACACCGCCACCUAUUACUGCGGCAGGAGCUACACAGUGACAGAGGCACAGGGAG
This is a non-coding RNA of Terrapene triunguis (Three-toed box turtle), 339 nucleotides long. The record is from the annotation of a RefSeq genome assembly. NCBI's taxonomy places the organism in Eukaryota, Metazoa, Chordata, Testudines, Emydidae.